CAGCGUCGCGUCAGCGGCCUGACUCCACCUCCCAGAUUUUAUAACAACUGACACAUUGUAGCCUACAGGACAUCAUAACUCACUGCAAGCGAAAAGGAGAAAAGCCCCACAAAAGGGACGGGAGAAAGGAGCAGGUUAGCACAGCCUGGGGAGGGAGAGAGGCUGCCGGCUCGGUCAGCAAAAGCCGCGGCUGGCGGGCGCUCGCUGUCUCCUCUGGAAGCUCGCCUUCUUUAUUCCCAGGAGACCGGCAGGAUGGGGACCCGAGCUCACGGGGGAUUGCACCAAAUUGGCCCUAAUCACACCUCCCUUUGUGCGUGGAGGGAUGGAGCCUUAGGCCGAGAGGCCAGAAGACCUGAGUUCGUAAACUCAGCUGGGUGAGGUUGGGGGAAGAAAAUGAGUCCCAGAGAAAAGAAGCAAUAUUUGUUCCUGGUCACCCUUCUAGUAAACAUCAAAGAGCCAAGAGCUAACCCAUAUAAGAAUAUUGAUAAAAGAAAAUAGGAAGAAGAUAAAAAACAAAUAGCAAUACCAAUCAACACAUCUGAAAAAUCUGAAAAUAAAUGUUUUGUUGACACCUGUGGAUCUCCCAUCUCUGCAAAGAAGUAGAAGGAGAUAUCUUCUCACACCUCUUCUUUGAAGCUAUGUUUUCAGAAAUUAUUUUUUUUCAUUAUAAAUGUGAUGUGUUAUCUAAUGUUUUGUAUUUUUAUGAGGUAAGCAUGAGAGAUUUAUUAUACACACUUACUUGGAAGUCAGGCAAUGUUUAACGCCUAGUUAGGAUGGCUCUAGUUUCAAUUGAUGGAAAGGAGGAAGGAAAAAUUUAAAAUGACUGAAAAGGAUGGACAU
Sarcophilus harrisii (Tasmanian devil) is the source of this 840-nucleotide long non-coding RNA. RefSeq lists it as uncharacterized. The transcript is spliced from 3 exons. Lineage: Eukaryota; Metazoa; Chordata; Mammalia; Dasyuromorphia; Dasyuridae. The record is from RefSeq and is a predicted model, not a curated record.